RNAcentral lists this long non-coding RNA (202 nucleotides) under Elaeis guineensis (African oil palm). Its description in RNAcentral is "long non-coding RNA (EGUI_LNC003770)". Lineage: Eukaryota; Viridiplantae; Streptophyta; Magnoliopsida; Arecales; Arecaceae. The record is from RNAcentral.
AAGACGGAUCUAUGGUUCCUUGUAAUGCAAAAUUUUUAAAAAAUAUAAGUUUAACUGGCUUGUAGUCCAAUACUUAUGGUGGUUGGUCCCCGAAUCCCAUGAAAUUUUGAGCCCAGCCAACCAAAUAAUUUUAAGUAAAAAAUUAUUUUGAUAAUUUAUUUAUAAAUAAAUAUUAUAUUUACUGUUGGGUAUAAAAUACCCA